AUGGGGAGCUAUCAAAAAUUAAAAAACAAAGUCACCACUUUCAUGAGGCAAGAGUUGCAGGAGAUGCAGGUGAUGGGGGGAGAUUCGGAGAGCUGGCUUGACUUGUGCGAGGCAGAGUCAGAAAAUUACACUGGUACACAGUCUUUGCACAAGAUUUGUACCGACAUACGACUCCUGGCAAACCUCAAGGAGAUGGAGGAACCCUUCGAAAAACAGCAGAUUGGCUCAAGUGCGAUGCCAUACGAGCGGAACCCUAUGCGCUCAGAGCGGUGCCGCAGCGUCGCCCGUCACCUGAUGACCCUUAUCAUGGACGCGCCGCAGACGGCAUCUCUGCAGGGGUUUGAGCGCACACUGGAUGAUAGUGCCAAUCGACGUAGCUGUUUGGCUGCGGCAUUUCUCACUGCAGAUUCGAUACUGAAUACGCUGCAGAACGUUUCUGAAGGAUUGGUGGUGUACCCUAAAGUAACUGAACGACGCACUCGGCAAGAGCUGCCUUUCAUGACCGCAGAGAACAUCAUCACCGCCGUCGUGAGAGCUGGGGGUAACCGCCAGGACCACCGUGAGAAAAUCAGAGUGCUUUCCCAGCAGGCGGCUGCUGGGGUCAGGCAGGAAGCCGGUGACAAUGACCUCAUAGAGCGAAUCCAGGCCGAUGCCUACUUCAGUCCCAUUCACUCCCAGUUGGACCAUCUACUGGAUCCUUCUUCGUUUACAGGUCGUGCAUCCCAACAGGUGCAGAGAUUCUUAGAAGAGGAGGUAUAUCCCCUGCUGAAACCAUAUGAAAGUGUAAUGAAGGUGAAAACAGAAUUAUGUCUGUAGCGUUGGAAAAAAUGAAACAAGAAGUCGCUGGCUUCAUUAAC
RNA transcript from Enhydra lutris kenyoni (northern sea otter), 857 nucleotides. It is a transcript of the gene named adenylosuccinate lyase pseudogene, with no coding region annotated. Lineage: Eukaryota; Metazoa; Chordata; Mammalia; Carnivora; Mustelidae. The record is from RefSeq and is a predicted model, not a curated record. The transcript is spliced from 2 exons.